Ceratotherium simum simum (southern white rhinoceros) is the source of this 149-nucleotide non-coding RNA. The record is from RefSeq and is a predicted model, not a curated record. Lineage: Eukaryota; Metazoa; Chordata; Mammalia; Perissodactyla; Rhinocerotidae.
GUUAUAUUUCUGGGCUGUCAAUUCUGUUCCAUUGAUCUGUGUGUCUGUUUUUGUGCCAGUAGUAUGCUGUUUGGAUUACUAUAUGUUUGCAGUAGAUUUUGAAAUCAGGGAGUAUGAUACCUCCAGCUUUGUUCUUUUUUCUCGGGAUU